This 1061-nucleotide ribosomal RNA is filed under the name Neopsilotrema lisitsynae. RNAcentral describes it as "partial large subunit ribosomal RNA". It matches the Rfam family "Eukaryotic large subunit ribosomal RNA", at positions 111 to 786 of the family's 3401-position model. Lineage: Eukaryota; Metazoa; Platyhelminthes; Trematoda; Plagiorchiida; Psilostomidae. The record is from RNAcentral.
AGCACCGAAGCCUGUGGUCGUUUGGCCUCUAGGCAAUGUGGUGUUCAGGUCAGCUCGCGGAGGUACUGCUCCACCCUAAGUCCUAUAAUGAGUAAGGUUACUCGGACGUGGCCCACAGAGGGUGAAAGGCCCGUGGGGGUGGAGACUCAGAUUGGCCAGUAUCUCCCUGAGUGGACCUUGGAGUCGGGUUGUUUGUGAAUGCAGCCCAAAGUGGGUGGUAAACUCCAUCCAAGGCUAAAUACUAGCACGAGUCCGAUAGCGAACAAGUACCGUGAGGGAAAGUUGAAAAGUACUUUGAAGAGAGAGUAAACAGUGCGUGAAACCGCUCAGAGGUAAACGGGUGGAGUUGAACUGCAAGCUCUGAGAAUUCAACUGGUGAGUAUGGCAUGAGCUGGGUAUAUUGGUUGACGGUCCGGGUCUGCUUAGCUGCAGGUCCUCGCCUUUUGGUGGGGAUGCGCGAAUCACUUACCAAGUGUUGUGCGCCCGGAUUGUAUCGGACCUGCUUGCCAGUGCACUUUCUCAGAGUAAUCACCACGACCGGCGUUGCCGUCUGGCUGUUGUAGUUAAACCGGCCUUGUAGAGUCCUUGUGGCUUUGCUUGGUCGGGAUGGCAGGUAGCCCGUUGUGCACUUUUGUGUGCUUCGGGUGUUAUCGCUGACUGCAUCAGUUCUGUGCGGUACGUCGGAGACGGCGGCUUGUUGUGUGUGCGUGCGUACUUGUUAUGCUGGCGGGGCCGAGUCUGGUUGCCGUGUUGAUUGCAAAAGCAAUCCCGGUGAUGGCUUGGUGUCGUUCGGUGUGCAGUUGCGUGCGUGUCACUAUGCAGGGCCAAUAGUCUGUGGUGUAGUGGUAGACUAUCCACCUGACCCGUCUUGAAACACGGACCAAGGAGAGUAACAUGUGCGCGAGUCAUUGGGCGUUACGAAACCCAAAGGCGCAGUGAAAGUAAAGGUUCGGCUUGUCCGGACUGAGGUGAGAUCCUGCCGUUUCUCACGCGCGGUACUACCAAGCAUCGAGCGGCAGGCGCAUCACCGGCCCGUCCCAUGGCGUAGAGGCGACCUUGUG